Molecule: unclassified non-coding RNA, 349 nt
Filed under: soil metagenome
Description: partial contains 5.8S ribosomal RNA, internal transcribed spacer 2, and large subunit ribosomal RNA
Rfam family: 5.8S ribosomal RNA (bases 1-120)
Source: RNAcentral
GAUGAAGAACGUAGCGAAAUGCGAUAAGUAAUGUGAAUUGCAGAAUUCAGUGAAUCAUCGAGUCUUUGAACGCACAUUGCGCCCCCUGGUAUUCCGGGGGGCAUGCCUGUCCGAGCGUCAUUGCUGCCCUCAAGCACGGCUUGUGUGUUGGGCCCCCGCCCCCCGGUCCCGGGGGGCGGGCCCGAAAGGCAGCGGCGGCACCGCGUCCGGUCCUCGAGCGUAUGGGGCUUUGUCACCCGCUCUGUAGGCCCGGCCGGCGCCCGCCGGCGACCCCAAUCAAUCUUUUUCAGGUUGACCUCGGAUCAGGUAGGGAUACCCGCUGAACUUAAGCAUAUCAAUAAGCGGAGGG